CCUGAUAGCUCAGUUGGUAAAGAAUCUGCCUGGAAUGCAGGAGACCUUGGUUUGAUUCCUGGGUCAGGA
This 69-nucleotide transfer RNA is filed under the name Ovis aries (sheep). It matches the Rfam family "tRNA". Rfam says of the family: Transfer RNA (tRNA) molecules are approximately 80 nucleotides in length. Their secondary structure includes four short double-helical elements and three loops (D, anti-codon, and T loops). Further hydrogen bonds mediate the characteristic L-shaped molecular structure. tRNAs have two regions of fundamental functional importance: the anti-codon, which is responsible for specific mRNA codon recognition, and the 3' end, to which the tRNAs corresponding amino acid is attached (by aminoacyl-tRNA synthetases). tRNAs cope with the degeneracy of the genetic code in two manners: having more than one tRNA (with a specific anti-codon) for a particular amino acid; and 'wobble' base-pairing, i.e. permitting non-standard base-pairing at the 3rd anti-codon position. Lineage: Eukaryota; Metazoa; Chordata; Mammalia; Artiodactyla; Bovidae. The record is from Rfam by way of RNAcentral.